RNAcentral lists this long non-coding RNA (1957 nucleotides) under Olea europaea subsp. europaea. Lineage: Eukaryota; Viridiplantae; Streptophyta; Magnoliopsida; Lamiales; Oleaceae. The record is from RNAcentral.
CUUAAAAAAAAAAAUCCACCCUAGUUUGGGACACAAAAUUUAACAAUCUUACUUUGACCCAAAUCUCGGUGCAAUGAACAAAAUUCCAAAAUUUCUCCACCAAAAGAAAUAUGUCCGAUUGUAUCAAAAUAACCAAACUCCUCAAACAAUAACUAUAACUCUCCACAUCAUGAAAAACAUCAUCCUCUGCCUCACAUCCACAAGCGACACUCGAACCUUAAUCCCAGGUUUCCAAAAUUCCAACAAGAAAUAAAUAUUAACCAAAUAGGAUCUAAGCAUAACCUAUAUCAGAAUCCACACAAAAUGCUUGAAUUGAAAGCCUUUUACUAAAACUGACACCUUCAAAUACACCGAAAGCAUUAUCAUUAACAUCUGCAACACCAUACCUAUGCUCAAUGAGUUCUACCUUAGCAAUUGAACAUGAUGGAAUUGCAGAAACUGGUGGCAAAGCGGAAUUACCCAUAUCAUUAAAACUCUCCCAAGUAGUGUCCAUAAUGUUACCAAAUCUGUCCAAAUGUCCCUUAACUAAUUCUGUGCGCCCCUGCAAGAUAUACAACCGAGACAUCUUCCGUCCAUCCAUACAACCCGGACACCCUUUUGACCUACAAGACUCCAUAUCUACUAGAGAACUUGUACCCCCUUGAAUCCGUGGGAUUCAGCGAGAUGAGAUUCUUCCUUAAGUUUGACACAUAUCGAAUCUAGCCUAGUGUUCUCACAAUCCCAUCCUGCAACUUCAAUUUGACCCUAUCAAUUCCUGGUUGUUUCCCAUGAUAACUUCACUUUGCUUCACCACCUCAUAUGUUUCAAAGCAGGUCCUAUUGGGACACAUAUGAAACGAACAAGUUGAAUCCAAAAUCCAUUCCUCAUCCGGUUUAGAUUCCAUGUCAGAUAUGGUCAACAUUGCAUCUCCACCAUCCAAAAAGUCCUCGACAAUAUUGGUCUCAUCCAAAUUACAUGAUUUCCUCCCAUGAUUUGCAGCUAAAUUAUCUUUAACCUGCUACUUAUCGCAAUCUUUUUUGACGUGUCCUUUCCUCUUGCUAUAGAAGCAAUACAAAUUGCUGAAGUUCACUUCUGAUCUACCCCUCCGUUAAUCACCAUGAGAUAUCAGAGCAUCCUCAUCCCUAAAUAUAGCUUCAACCUGAUGCUCUAUCUUCUCCUUUGAGAAUAAAGUAUCAUAAACAUCUUCAAUGGUAAGUGUAUCACGACUGUACAAAAUCGUGUCCUGGAAUGACGAGUAAGAAACGGGCAGCGAAUACGACAGGAUCAAGGCUAAAUCCUUUUCAUCAUACUUAACCUCCAAUAUUUCCAAAUUCGUGAUGAUUUCCUUGAACAGAGCAAGGUGGUCUUCCAGCGAUCCUCUUUCUGCCAUGCAAUAGGAAUACGGUCUUUGCUCUCUAGAUGCAGUUUGGUUGAAAGACUUUUAGUUGUGCACAGCUGCUUCAGUUUCAACCACAAAAAAAUCGCUGUUUUCUCCUUCAAUACGUCUUGUAGGAUGUUAUUGGAGACGUGAAGAUAAAUCUGUGAUAGAGCUUUCCUAUCUUUUCGUUGUUUCUCCUCUAUUGUCCAAUUUGCUGGAAUCUUAUCAAAACCUAGCAAUGUAUCGUCUAAAUUCAUUUGUGCCAACAUAGCCCUCAUCUUUACUUGGUACAGCGAAAAUUUCGUAUUGCGAUCCAGCAGCGGAAUAUCAUAUUUCAAUGUAGCCAUCUUUGAAAAAUCCCAAUCAAAUCACGGAGAACUUGCAGCCUAACUCUAAUACCACUUGUUGGACGGGGAUUCGAUGCGAUAAUAUAGAUUAAUGAAUAAUAUGAAAUAUGUAUGAUCACAACGAAGAAAACAAGAUUAAAGUAAAGAAAUUGAAAAGAGAUUAGUAGAGAAACCGAUGUUUCAUUAAAGACUAUGAGUGGAGAAAAUACAAGAAUUCAGUAAUAAAACUUUCCCUAAACUAAAUGAAGAGCCA